Molecule: ribosomal RNA, 301 nt
Filed under: uncultured bacterium
Lineage: Bacteria
Description: partial 16S ribosomal RNA
Rfam family: Bacterial small subunit ribosomal RNA
Source: RNAcentral
CAGUAGCCACGGUAAUACGGAGGGAGCUAGCGUUGUUCGGAAUUACUGGGCGUAAAGCGCGCGUAGGCGGUUACUCAAGUCAGAGGUGAAAGCCCGGGGCUCAACCACGGAACUGCCUUUGAAACUAGGUGACUAGAAUCUUGGAGAGGUCAGUGGAAUUCCGAGUGUAGAGGUGAAAUUCGUAGAUAUUCGGAAGAACACCAGUGGCGAAGGCGACUGACUGGACAAGUAUUGACGCUGAGGUGCGAAAGCGUGGGGAGCAAACAGGAUUAGAUACCCCGGUAGUCCCUGUCUCUUAUAC